This 693-nucleotide ribosomal RNA is filed under the name Escherichia coli. RNAcentral's name for it is "partial 23S ribosomal RNA". It matches the Rfam family "Bacterial large subunit ribosomal RNA", at positions 609 to 1302 of the family's 2925-position model. The record is from RNAcentral. Lineage: Bacteria; Pseudomonadati; Pseudomonadota; Gammaproteobacteria; Enterobacterales; Enterobacteriaceae.
UGUAUAAUGGGUCAGCGACUUAUAUUCUGUAGCAAGGUUAACCGAAUAGGGGAGCCGAAGGGAAACCGAGUCUUAACUGGGCGUUAAGUUGCAGGGUAUAGACCCGAAACCCGGUGAUCUAGCCAUGGGCAGGUUGAAGGUUGGGUAACACUAACUGGAGGACCGAACCGACUAAUGUUGAAAAAUUAGCGGAUGACUUGUGGCUGGGGGUGAAAGGCCAAUCAAACCGGGAGAUAGCUGGUUCUCCCCGAAAGCUAUUUAGGUAGCGCCUCGUGAAUUCAUCUCCGGGGGUAGAGCACUGUUUCGGCAAGGGGGUCAUCCCGACUUACCAACCCGAUGCAAACUGCGAAUACCGGAGAAUGUUAUCACGGGAGACACACGGCGGGUGCUAACGUCCGUCGUGAAGAGGGAAACAACCCAGACCGCCAGCUAAGGUCCCAAAGUCAUGGUUAAGUGGGAAACGAUGUGGGAAGGCCCAGACAGCCAGGAUGUUGGCUUAGAAGCAGCCAUCAUUUAAAGAAAGCGUAAUAGCUCACUGGUCGAGUCGGCCUGCGCGGAAGAUGUAACGGGGCUAAACCAUGCACCGAAGCUGCGGCAGCGACACUAUGUGUUGUUGGGUAGGGGAGCGUUCUGUAAGCCUGCGAAGGUGUACUGUGAGGUAUGCUGGAGGUAUCAGAAGUGCGAAUGCUGACA